Molecule: ribosomal RNA, 408 nt
Filed under: Fusobacterium periodonticum
Lineage: Bacteria; Fusobacteriati; Fusobacteriota; Fusobacteriia; Fusobacteriales; Fusobacteriaceae
Description: bacterial SSU rRNA
Rfam family: Bacterial small subunit ribosomal RNA
Source: RNAcentral
GAUGAACGCUGACAGAAUGCUUAACACAUGCAAGUCAACUUGAACUUCGGUUUGGGUGGCGGACGGGUGAGUAACGCGUAAAGAACUUGCCUCACAGAUAGGGACAACAUUUGGAAACGAAUGCUAAUACCUGAUAUUAUGAUUUUAGGGCAUCCUAGAAUUAUGAAAGCUAUAUGCACUGUGAGAGAGCUUUGCGUCCCAUUAGCUAGUUGGAGAGGUAACGGCUCACCAAGGCGAUGAUGGGUAGCCGGCCUGAGAGGGUGAACGGCCACAAGGGGACUGAGACACGGCCCUUACUCCUACGGGAGGCAGCAGUGGGGAAUAUUGGACAAUGGACCAAGAGUCUGAUCCAGCAAUUCUGUGUGCAUGAUGAAGUUUUUCGGAAUGUAAAGUGCUUUCAGUUGGGAA